Molecule: ribosomal RNA, 397 nt
Filed under: uncultured bacterium
Lineage: Bacteria
Description: partial 16S ribosomal RNA
Rfam family: Bacterial small subunit ribosomal RNA
Source: RNAcentral
AUACGUAGGGGGCGAGCGUUGUCCGGAAUGAUUGGGCGUAAAGGGCGCGUAGGCGGCCCGGUAAGUCUGGAGUGAAAGUCCUGUUUUUAAGAUGGGAAUUGCUUUGGAUACUGUCGGGCUUGAGUGCAGGAGAGGUAAGUGGAAUUCCCAGUGUAGCGGUGAAAUGCGUAGAUAUUGGGAGGAACACCAGUGGCGAAGGCGACUUACUGGACUGUAACUGACGCUGAGGCGCGAAAGUUUGGGGAGCAAACAGGAUUAGAUACCCUGGUAGUCCACACUGUAAACGAUGAAUGCUAGGUGUAGGGGGUAUCGACCCCUUCUGUGCCGCAGUCAACACAAUAAGCAUUCCGCCUGGGGAGUACGGCCGCAAGGUUGAAACUCAAAUGAAUUGACGGGG